RNAcentral lists this ribosomal RNA (433 nucleotides) under uncultured bacterium. RNAcentral describes it as "partial 16S ribosomal RNA". It matches the Rfam family "Bacterial small subunit ribosomal RNA", at positions 29 to 507 of the family's 1533-position model. The record is from RNAcentral.
AGCGAACGCUGGCGGCAGGCCUAACACAUGCAAGUCGAACGAACUCUUCGGAGUUAGUGGCGGACGGGUGAGUAACACGUGGGAACGUGCCUUUUGGUUCGGAAUAACUCAGGGAAACUUGUGCUAAUACCGAAUGUGCCCUUCGGGGGAAAAAUUUAUCGCCAUUAGAGCGGCCCGCGUCUGAUUAGCUAGUUGGUGAGGUAACGGCUCACCAAGGCGACGAUCAGUAGCUGGUCUGAGAGGAUGACCAGCCACACUGGGACUGAGACACGGCCCAGACUCCUACGGGAGGCAGCAGUGGGGAAUCUUGCGCAAUGGGCGAAAGCCUGACGCAGCCAUGCCGCGUGAAUGAUGAAGGUCUUAGGAUUGUAAAAUUCUUUCACCGGGGACGAUAAUGACGGUACCCGGAGAAGAAGCCCCGGCUAACUUCGUG